RNAcentral lists this RNase P RNA (360 nucleotides) under Bryobacterales bacterium. Its description in RNAcentral is "RNase P RNA component class A". It matches the Rfam family "Bacterial RNase P class A". Rfam says of the family: Ribonuclease P (RNase P) is a ubiquitous endoribonuclease, found in archaea, bacteria and eukarya as well as chloroplasts and mitochondria. Its best characterised activity is the generation of mature 5'-ends of tRNAs by cleaving the 5'-leader elements of precursor-tRNAs. Cellular RNase Ps are ribonucleoproteins. Lineage: Bacteria; Pseudomonadati; Acidobacteriota; Terriglobia; Bryobacterales. The record is from RNAcentral.
GCGGACGGUCGGGCAGUCGCGGCACCUUCGGGCGUCGAGGAAAGUCCGGUCUCCACAGGGCGGCGUGCCGGCUAACGGCCGGGCGGCAAUGCCGACGGAAAGUGCCACAGAAAACAUACCGCCACGGCAUGUUCGGGGUAAGGGUGAAAUGGUGCGGUAAGAGCGCACCGCGUCGCGGGCAACCGGGAUGGCAGGGCAAACCCCACGCGGAGCAAGGCCAAAUAGGGGGCGAAGCGGCGGCCCGCCGCAUUGGAGUCCCGGGUGGGCCGCUAGAGGCGACUGGCGACAGUCGUCCCAGAUGAAUGGCUGCCACCCGUCCUAAGACGGGGACAGAAACCGGCUUACAGGCCGUCCGCCCAC